Molecule: ribosomal RNA, 458 nt
Filed under: uncultured bacterium
Lineage: Bacteria
Description: bacterial SSU rRNA
Rfam family: Bacterial small subunit ribosomal RNA
Source: RNAcentral
GAAUUCAACUCCUACGGGAGGCAGCAGUGGGGAAUAUUGGACAAUGGGGGCAACCCUGAUCCAGCCAUGCCGCGUGAGUGAUGAAGGCCUUAGGGUUGUAAAGCUCUUUUAUCCGGGACGAUAAUGACGGUACCGGAGGAAUAAGCCCCGGCUAACUUCGUGCCAGCAGCCGCGGUAAUACGAAGGGGGCUAGCGUUGGUCGGAAUCACUGGGCGUAAAGGGCGCGUAGGCGGCGUUUUAAGUCGGGGGUGGAGGCCUGUGGCUCAACCACAGAAUUGCCUUCGAUACUGGGACGCUUGAGUCUGGUAGAGGUUGGUGGAACUGCGAGUGUAGAGGUGAAAUUCGUAGAUAUUCGCAAGAACACCGGUGGCGGAGGCGGCCAACUGGACCAGUACUGACGCUGAGGCGCGAAAGCGUGGGGAGCAAACAGGAUUAGAAACCCUAGUAGUCCAGGCGUU